AUAUACAAUAAAGAAGGUUACUCAACUAGGAAAUGAUCAUAAUAUAUGAUUAACAUGAUGAUGAGGCAGCUAUUAUGGGUGACCUUACGCUUGUUCUGUCUUGUUCUUAUUCUCUUCCAAUAUCCCUCCUUUGCUCAACGCGGUCCCUCAUCGGUGCCGUCGCCGGUUCCUAGAGGUCGUGCUGAUCACACUCCGAAUAAAGCCCCUUCACCCCCAAAAGGAGCUGGGCCUAAGAAUCCAUAAGAACAUCAGAUGCCUUAUAAUUUAUAAUUAAUUGUUGUAUAAUUAAUCCAUAAGAUCAUAUAGCUAGUGAUUUAAACUAUUGUGUUCGCAUAAAAUUAAUACUUCAACAUGAAUAAAUAUAUAUAUAUAUAUAUAUAUUCAUCUUUAUUUUGUUAAGAACAAAUAUGUGAUCACUCUUAAGUUUGCGUUAUUAAUGUCUGAUUUCUUCUUUCCCACAAUUAUAAUAUGAUCAACAUAGGAGAAUAAAUAGAGUAACAACUUUUAUUAAAUCUAACUCUAGUCAUAAACUCAUCAAAUUUAAGAUUUCAUUGUCUAAUAAGAACUUGUCUCAGACCAUGCAGUGAUUUUUGUAUCAGGCAUA
This is a long non-coding RNA of Humulus lupulus (European hop), 604 nucleotides long. RefSeq lists it as uncharacterized. The transcript has 2 exons. Lineage: Eukaryota; Viridiplantae; Streptophyta; Magnoliopsida; Rosales; Cannabaceae. The record is from RefSeq and is a predicted model, not a curated record.